Molecule: ribosomal RNA, 253 nt
Filed under: uncultured bacterium
Lineage: Bacteria
Description: partial 16S ribosomal RNA
Rfam family: Bacterial small subunit ribosomal RNA
Source: RNAcentral
UCCAGAGGGUGCGAUCGUUAAUCGGAUUUACUGGGCGUAAAGCGUGCGUAGGUGGUUUGUUAAGUCAGGUGUGAAAUCCCCGGGCUCAACCUGGGAACUGCGCUUGAAACUGGCAAGCUAGAGUGUGGUAGAGGGUAGUGGAAUUCCCGGUGUAGCGGUGAAAUGCGUAGAUAUCGGGAAGAACACCAGUGGCGAAGGCGGCUACCUGGACCAACACUGACACUGAGGCACGAAAGCGUGGGGAGAAAACAGG